GUGCCAGCAGCCGCGGUAAUACGUAGGUGGCAAGCGUUAUCCGGAAUUAUUGGGCGUAAAGCGCGCGUAGGCGGUUUUUUAAGUCUGAUGUGAAAGCCCACGGCUCAACCGUAGAGGGUCAUCGGAAACUGGAAAACUUGAGUGCAGAAGAGGAAAGUGGAAUUCCAUGUGUAGCGGUGAAAUGCGCAGAGAUAUGGAGGAACACCAGUGGCGAAGGCGACUUUCUGGUCUGUAACUGACGCUGAUGUGCGAAAGCGUGGGGAUCAAACAGGAUUAGAU
RNAcentral lists this ribosomal RNA (279 nucleotides) under uncultured Staphylococcus sp. RNAcentral describes it as "partial 16S ribosomal RNA". It matches the Rfam family "Bacterial small subunit ribosomal RNA", at positions 505 to 783 of the family's 1533-position model. Lineage: Bacteria; Bacillati; Bacillota; Bacilli; Caryophanales; Staphylococcaceae. The record is from RNAcentral.